This 362-nucleotide long non-coding RNA is filed under the name Cricetulus griseus (Chinese hamster). RNAcentral's name for it is "lncRNA (ENSCGRG00015030032.1)". The record is from RNAcentral. Lineage: Eukaryota; Metazoa; Chordata; Mammalia; Rodentia; Cricetidae.
GCAGGAAGUGCAUGAAGUGCACAUUGGCUUUGCAAACCCGGCAUAUCAUGUUGUGCUGUCCUUAUCCAAACUCCACAGAGUCCAUCAUGUGACAUCAUACAGUGGGAGAUGAACACUCUGAAGAAAAGCUACAGGACCCGCUGUUACCUCGAAUUUGUCUGGAGAGAAAGGUAAUUGACUGAAGUAGAGAGAAAUGUACAAACGGAAGCCUACCUAUUUUCUUUUAUGGCUGCUUCCAUUGGCUAGUUAGCCUCAAGAGACUGAUCACGUGCCUGUGAAGUUCUAACAUCUGCCUUUCUAAAGACUGCUUUCUUCUAGCCACCUUUCUUCCUCACUUUGCCCUGUCUUCUUGCUAACUGUAU